Molecule: ribosomal RNA, 425 nt
Filed under: uncultured bacterium
Lineage: Bacteria
Description: partial 16S ribosomal RNA
Rfam family: Bacterial small subunit ribosomal RNA
Source: RNAcentral
GUGGGGAAUAUUGGGCAAUGGGCGAAAGCCUGACCCAGCAACGCCGCGUGAAGGAAGAAGGUUUUCGGAUCGUAAACUUCUAUCCUUGGUGAAGAUAAUGACGGUAGCCAAGAAGGAAGCCCCGGCUAACUACGUGCCAGCAGCCGCGGUAAUACGUAGGGGGCAAGCGUUGUCCGGAAUGAUUGGGCGUAAAGGGCGCGUAGGCGGCCCGGUAAGUCUGAAGUGAAAGUCCUGCUUUUAAGGUGGGAAUUGCUUUGGAUACUGUCGGGCUUGAGUGCAGGAGAGGUAAGCGGAAUUCCCGGUGUAGCGGUGAAAUGCGUAGAGAUCGGGAGGAACACCAGUGGCGAAGGCGGCCUGCUGGACAUUUACUGACGCUGAGGCGCGAAAGCGUGGGGAGCAAACAGGAUUAGAAACCCCAGUAGUCC